UACGUAGGGUGCGAGCGUUGUCCGGAAUUACUGGGCGUAAAGCGCACGUAGGCGGCUUUGUAAGUAAGAGGUGAAAGCCCAGAGCUCAACUCUGGAAUUGCCUUUUAGACUGCAUCGCUUGAAUCAUGGAGAGGUCAGUGGAAUUCCGAGUGUAGAGGUGAAAUUCGUAGAUAUUCGGAAGAACACCAGUGGCGAAGGCGGCUGACUGGACAUGUAUUGACGCUGAGGUGCGAAAGCGUGGGGAGCAAACAGG
RNAcentral lists this ribosomal RNA (253 nucleotides) under uncultured bacterium. RNAcentral's name for it is "partial 16S ribosomal RNA". It matches the Rfam family "Bacterial small subunit ribosomal RNA", at positions 524 to 776 of the family's 1533-position model. The record is from RNAcentral.